AUUGAACGCUAGCGGGAUGCCUUACACAUGCAAGUCGAACGGAGUGGCGAACGGGUGAGUAAUGUAUCGGAACGUGCCCAGUAGCGGGGGAUAACUACGCGAAAGCGAAGCUAAUACCGCAUACUAUUAGAGCGGCCUAGAUAGGAUUAGCUAGUUGGUGGGGUAAAGGCACACCAAGGCGACGAUCCGUAACUGGUUUGAGAGGAGGACCAGUCACACUGGAACUGAGACACGGUCCAGACGCCUACGGGAGGCAGCAGUGGGGAAUAUUGGACAAUGGGGGAAACCCUGAUCCAGCCAUGCCGCGUGUGCGAUGAAGGCCUUCGGGUUGUAAAGCACUUUUGGCAGGGAUGCGGUACCUGCAGAAUAAGCACCGGCUAACUACGUGCCAGCAGCCGCGGUAAUUC
This 407-nucleotide ribosomal RNA is filed under the name uncultured bacterium. RNAcentral's name for it is "partial 16S ribosomal RNA". It matches the Rfam family "Bacterial small subunit ribosomal RNA", at positions 30 to 526 of the family's 1533-position model. The record is from RNAcentral.